GAUGAACGCUGGCGGCGUGCCUAAUACAUGCAAGUCGAGCGAACAGACGAGGAGCUUGCUCCUCUGACGUUAGCGGCGGACGGGUGAGUAACACGUGGAUAACCUACCUAUAAGACUGGGAUAACUUCGGGAAACCGGAGCUAAUACCGGAUAAUAUAUUGAACCGCAUGGUUCAAUAGUGAAAGACGGUUUUGCUGUCACUUAUAGAUGGAUCCGCGCCGCAUUAGCUAGUUGGUAAGGUAACGGCUUACCAAGGCAACGAUGCGUAGCCGACCUGAGAGGGUGAUCGGCCACACUGGAACUGAGACACGGUCCAGAAUCCUAAGGGAGGCAGCAGUAGGGAAUCUUCCGCAAUGGGCGAAAGCUUGACGGAGCAAAGCCGCGUGAGUGAUGAAGGUCUUCGGAUCGUAAAACUCUGUUAUUAGGGAAGAACAAAUGUGUAAGUAACUAUGCACGUCUUGACGGUACCUAAUCAGAAAGCCACGGCUAACUACGUG
RNAcentral lists this ribosomal RNA (497 nucleotides) under uncultured bacterium. RNAcentral's name for it is "partial 16S ribosomal RNA". It matches the Rfam family "Bacterial small subunit ribosomal RNA", at positions 28 to 507 of the family's 1533-position model. The record is from RNAcentral.